GAUGAACGCUGGCGGCGUGCCUAAUACAUGCAAGUCGAACGCAUAGCGAAAGGUGCUUGCACCUUUCAAGUGAGUGGCGAACGGGUGAGUAACACGUGGACAACCUGCCUCAAGGCUGGGGAUAACAUUUGGAAACAGAUGCUAAUACCGAAUAAAACUUAGUGUCGCAUGACACAAAGUUAAAAGGCGCUUCGGCGUCACCUAGAGAUGGAUCCGCGGUGCAUUAGUUAGUUGGUGGGGUAAAGGCCUACCAAGACAAUGAUGCAUAGCCGAGUUGAGAGACUGAUCGGCCACAUUGGGACUGAGACACGGCCCAGACUCCUACGGGAGGCUGCAGUAGGGAAUCUUCCACAAUGGGCGAAAGCCUGAUGGAGCAACGCCGCGUGUGUGAUGAAGGCUUUCGGGUCGUAAAGCACUGUUGUAUGGGAAGAACAGCUGGAAUAGGAAAUGAUUUUAGUUUGACGGUACCAUACCAGAAAGGGACGGCUAAAUACGUG
RNAcentral lists this ribosomal RNA (497 nucleotides) under uncultured bacterium. RNAcentral describes it as "partial 16S ribosomal RNA". It matches the Rfam family "Bacterial small subunit ribosomal RNA", at positions 28 to 507 of the family's 1533-position model. The record is from RNAcentral.